UAUAAACUACUAGGAGAGUCUUGCUCAUAUCUUUAGUUGUGAUUAACGUACAGGUCUUCCAGGUUCCAACCUAUAGCAUGAAAUUUAGGGAUCAUUGCUGAAAGCUGAAAUGAGAUGCAAUGCAUGCUGGCGAGAAUUGGAAGGGCGAGCCAUUUCCACCACUUGUGGCCACAUCUUGUGCACCGAAGAUGCCAGCAAGAUCCUCAGUAAUGAUGCGUCUUGCCCCAUCUGUGAUCAAGUGCUAUCCAAGAGGUCAGUGGCUUCUGAUGGCACGGUUUGGAAUUUUAAACAUGUUCUUUUGCAUGUGAAUUCUUAAAGCAUCAGAUUGCUACAACUGCAUGAGAGUUUAGGGAAAGGAUUGAUCCAGCCUACUGAUUAAUUAUUUAAUGGAGUGAUGGUAGUAUGGGUUUCCCCUAGAUUUCUUUCCCUUUGGCCAUGAGUUGCUGUUGUGCAAAUAUAUAAGUCACUGGUCAUCUAUAGCAUUUAACAUCUUAAGCAUCUAUAGCAUUUUAAAAAAAAAAAUUGUGCCUUCUAACUGGAAAUGGUGUUCACUUGUCAGUCUUAUGAAACCUGUGGAUAUCAAUCCGAACAAUGAAUGGAUAAACGUAAGCAAGCACUCCUCAAUUAAAUACUCAGUUACUUGAGCGUCUCUAGUUUACUGCUAUUUCAAACAGAGAUCACCAUAAGCUGUACUUUGCUUGACCUUUUACAUGUUAUUUUGCAGAUGGCUAUGGCAGGGAUAUCUCCACAGAUUUGUGUCCUUUAUUACUUCCAAUGAAUGUUGUCUCAUUACAUGUAUAUGUAUACAUGUGUAUAUUCCUCUUAACAUUCCCUAUUCAGAAUUCAUCUAGUAUUGAGUGGCAUAGUGGCAAAAACUGGAGGGUAUUUGUGACAGGUGUGUGGCUGUUCUACAGCCUAUUUAUCCUUUUAUGAGGCUGUGGAAGCAGCCAUUAUUGCCGUGGCAAAUAUCAAUAUCCCAAGACAAAGACAAAAGACAAAAAAGAAAAAAGAAAAAAGAAGAAAGAAGAAAGAAAAGAAGACGAGAACGGUUAGGCACCCUAUGUAAUACUUGUAGUUCCCAAAUGGAGUGUAGAGGGCUCGGAACUUUUUAUAAUUUUUGGUUAAAAUACACAUUGGACCCACAUCUUUCCUUGAACAUAUCUAGUGAUGAAGAGUGCAUACAGAAGUGUGAUGUUCUACAUCGGGCAACAGGAACUGGAAAUGCAAUUCAAGAUGAACAGAAUAGUAGCUCAGUGCAGGCAGAAAUGCGAGACAAUGCAAGAAAAGUUCACAGAAAAACUGGAGCAAGUGCACACUGCAUACCAGAAAAUGGCCAAGAGGUGCCAGAUGCUGGAACAAGAGAUUGAGAACUUAACCAAGGAUAAGCAAGAGCUCCAAGAAAAUUUUUCUGAGAAAUCCAGACAAAAGAGAAAGCUUGAGGAAAUGUAUGAUCAAUUGAGAAGCGAAUAUGAUACAAUGAAACGAUCAACCAUCUAAC
Camellia sinensis is the source of this 1498-nucleotide non-coding RNA. The record is from RefSeq and is a predicted model, not a curated record. Lineage: Eukaryota; Viridiplantae; Streptophyta; Magnoliopsida; Ericales; Theaceae.